Molecule: ribosomal RNA, 264 nt
Filed under: Caloramator sp. enrichment culture clone gl13
Lineage: Bacteria; Bacillati; Bacillota; Clostridia; Eubacteriales; Clostridiaceae
Description: partial 16S ribosomal RNA
Rfam family: Bacterial small subunit ribosomal RNA
Source: RNAcentral
CCCUUACCUUUAGUUGCCACCAAAUCGGUUGGGCACUCUAGAGGGACUACCUGGGUUACCCAGGAGGAAGGUGGGGAUGACGUCAAAUCAUCAUGCCCCUUAUGCUCUGGGCUACACACGUGUUACAAUGGCCGGUACAAUGAGUUGCGAACCCGCGAGGGGGAGCUAGUCUCCAAAACCGGUCCCAGUUCGGAUUGUAGGCUGCCANUCGCCCACAUGAAGCUGGAGUUGCUAGUAAUCGCGGAUCAGCAUGCCGCGGUAAAU